Molecule: ribosomal RNA, 419 nt
Filed under: Geobacillus sp. T6
Lineage: Bacteria; Bacillati; Bacillota; Bacilli; Caryophanales; Anoxybacillaceae
Description: partial 23S ribosomal RNA
Rfam family: Bacterial large subunit ribosomal RNA
Source: RNAcentral
UAAGGCGCGCGGGAUAACCCUCGCCAAGGAACUCUGCAAGUUAGCCCCGUAACUUCGGGAGAAGGGGUGCUCCUCGGGGUGCCGCGUGCGGUGCCUUUGGGGAGCCGCAGUGAAUAGGCUCUGGCGACUGUUUACCAAAAACACAGCUCUCUGCGAACUCGUAAGAGGAGGUAUAGGGAGCGACGCUUGCCCGGUGCCGGAAGGUCAAGGGGAGGGGUGCAAGCCCUGAACCGAAGCCCCGGUGAACGGCGGCCGUAACUAUAACGGUCCUAAGGUAGCGAAAUUCCUUGUCGGGUAAGUUCCGACCUGCACGAAAAGCGUAACGACCGGAGCGCUGUCUCGGCGAGGGACCCGGUGAAAUUGAACUGGCCGUGAAGAUGCGGCCUACCCGUGGCAGGACGAAAAGACCCCGUGGAGCU